GCCACCGGGUCGACCGCCGAUCUCCGGCACCGGCACCACCGUCUGCGGUGGCCGAAAUGGGGAAAAUCCCCUAUUUGACUCCUCGAAGCCCCCCAAACCCAGAUCUGGACUUGGAUUUUUCAGAAUAUCGGCGAAAACCGCAAAGACGCCAAGGAAAACCUUCGGCUUCUGGCCACUGAUCCUCGGUGUGGCUCCCUCAAACGCUUCAGCGCCACCUUGGAGUUCAAAGCUAGGUGACUUCUUUCCUUUUUUUUAUAUUAUUCGUAUAUAAAUAAAAACAUAGCAGUAAAAAAAUAAUAAAAAAAUGCAGGUAUCAACCUUGGGCUUCGAUCGAUUCCUUUUUGCUGUGAAAAUAUUUGCUUGUUAUUGAUUUCCAAAAAAAAAAAAUUCCAGUUACAGUAUAUCAAUGGUUAUCUUAUAGCCAUAAUGAGAAAAAUAAAAAGAAAUAAAAUUUGUUCAUAUUUGAUUUGAUUUUCCAAAUAUUUGAUUUUGUUUCCUUUCUUGCGUUUGCUCCUUGCAGGUGAAGACUCGUCUCUUGGCUGCGGCGCGAGCGGGCUAGGUAGCUACGUCGCUGAUGAACUCCAUAGAAACCCUAGGGUUUCUUCAUUUGUUUUGGGCCACUUGUAUUUGGGCCACCGUAUUUUAGUUCAUUUCAGUUUGGGCCAUAUAGGCCCACUUGUAAUUUGGACUGCUUUAUUUUCUUCAUGUAGGCCGGGUAAAAUUGAGGUUUUACAUCUUGGAUUUUAUUGAAUUUCUCUAAUGCUUAAUUAUUAUA
Gossypium raimondii (Peruvian cotton) is the source of this 775-nucleotide long non-coding RNA. RefSeq lists it as uncharacterized. NCBI's taxonomy places the organism in Eukaryota, Viridiplantae, Streptophyta, Magnoliopsida, Malvales, Malvaceae. The transcript has 2 exons. The record is from RefSeq and is a predicted model, not a curated record.